UAGGGAAUCUUCCGCAAUGGACGAAAGUCUGACGGAGCAACGCCGCGUGAGUGAAGAAGGUUUUCGGAUCGUAAAACUCUGUUGUAAGGGAAGAACAAGUACGUUAGUAACUGAACGUACCUUGACGGUACCUUACCAGAAAGCCACGGCUAACUACGUGCCAGCAGCCGCGGUAAUACGUAGGUGGCAAGCGUUAUCCGGAAUUAUUGGGCGUAAAGCGCGCGUAGGCGGUCUCUUAAGUCUGAUGUGAAAGCCCCCGGCUCAACCGGGGAGGGUCAUUGGAAACUGGGAGGCUUGAGUGCAGAAGAGGAGAGUGGAAUUCCAUGUGUAGCGGUGAAAUGCGCAGAGAUAUGGGGGAACACCAGUGGCGAAGGCGGCUCUCUGGUCUGUAACUGACGCUGAGGUGCGAAAGCGUGGGGAUCAAACAGG
RNAcentral lists this ribosomal RNA (429 nucleotides) under Bacillota bacterium. RNAcentral describes it as "Firmicutes bacterium partial 16S ribosomal RNA". It matches the Rfam family "Bacterial small subunit ribosomal RNA", at positions 355 to 776 of the family's 1533-position model. The record is from RNAcentral. Lineage: Bacteria; Bacillati; Bacillota.